Molecule: long non-coding RNA, 3609 nt
Organism: Cuculus canorus (common cuckoo)
Lineage: Eukaryota; Metazoa; Chordata; Aves; Cuculiformes; Cuculidae
Exons: 13
Source: RefSeq, a predicted model, not a curated record
AGAUUGAAAAGACCAGUGAUGGAAAUGUUCUUCUCCUGUCCCAGACAAGCGCUCUGCCUUUCAGGAAGGAAACACAAAGCGGAAGACUCAGCUGAAGACAGGGCUGGUCUUUAGCAGCUGCCUGAGUGGAGGCCUCAGUUGUCGCCCUUCAGAGAGUGGCUCCUGUUGUGAUGAUUUAACACACACAAUACAGCGGCUCAAGACAGUGGAUUGAGAGAUUUAUGUUGCUGAUUCUGCAACAAAUGCACCCCGUGCCAAAUGUGCUUUCAAUAACUUCCUGCGUUAUGCUGAGAUAGUUGGUCAAAGGCAUCUCAGUGACAGACGAGGACAGCUCAGUCGUACCUCGCAGCGAGCCAUCUACAAGCUGCCUUUUGAAGGGCCCCUUAUUAAAAACCACCGAAUACUCCAUGGCGCUAAGUGGUGACUCAAACCGGUGUUAUUUUUCCCCCGUGAGACGCUUGAGGAAGCCGAGGCGGUGUGGCUGGAGUGUCCCUGUGAUCUGUGCUUGUGACUUGGAAUGGCUUCGACCUCUCUCAGGGCAGAGGUGCCAAUGCCUCUGAAGGGCUGAGGGAUAAGUCCAUUAUGAGCGGAAGCGAAUAGGAGAGCACGUGGAUGAUGGGAGAAGACUGCUGGUCUACAAGGAGCAAUGUUUAGAAUAUUUGUUCUGAGCAGGACCUAAAUGUGUGGUAAUAGUUUGCUGAGGCUCUGCUAGAAAACCUGGGAAUGACAGUGAUGUCCUCUGUGUUGUUCUGGAUGACAGAAGAGUUCUGCCUGGGCCGCUCGCAGACAGCUCCCUAAAGCACCACAGCGCUGGGCAGAAAGCUACACCUUCAAGCCUUCUGUUUCACACGAAAGGAUGCAGACGCUGUUUCACUGACGGCUGCCUUGAAAAUCACAGCCCUCUGUAGCACCUCCCAAAGAAGACAGCGGGUGGGAAGUUGACAUCCAGUUACCAAAGCAAGAGCCUCAUCUCUCGGCCUGUUCAAUGUCAGAUUUUUUUGGGUCCUGAAAAAUGUAACUGCUGUGCAGAAGAAGAAAUGUCCCUCCUAUAUCUCAGCUAUACUGAGGGUUCAGUCCAUCACCAGGAAGUUACACCACGCCAGCACUGCAGUGUCGCCAGAGGAGCUGAGAGUUAUCCCAGAUGAAAGGUGGUGGCUGCAAAGGCGGUGCUGACAGGUGCAGACAGCCCUGAACUUGCUUUGCCCACGCUCUGCGAUGUUUGGAUAUGUGCCGGCUCUACAGCCGUGCUGCACGGCACAGCGCCUGAGCCUUCCCGUCUGCUCCCAGUAAGACCAGGCAACUGGAGAAUACCGAUUUUCAGCAACCACCUUGGGUCUGACGGUGAAGAGUGUGACAGCUCUGUGGUCUGCUGGUACCUGUGACACCGUGACCAUGCUCUUGUGUGCAAAGCCAGCUGCCACCCGGGUUGCAAUAUGAGAAACAUUACAAAUUAAAGGCUCAUGAUGUCCAGCAACAGCCCCGAGGAGUGCCGAAGCCGGCGUGCCAAGCACAGUGAUUUAUAAUGCAGCAGCAAUUUAUAGCCCUCUUCUUCUGUUUUCUGUCAGCCAGCUCAAAGAGAAGUGUUUGGCACAUUCUCGCUGCGCCCACAGUUCAUGGUGGUGUUUCUCAGGGACUGUAAACAGGGAAGUGCUUUUCAUGUGAGUUUGGCUGUUAGCGAGGUGUUUUUUCCGCUAAUAAGAAUACAAAACCUCUGCGUAUCAGGGAGGAAGAGAGGGAGAUGUGGAAACUGCUGUGUGCACGCUAAUUUGGGAUGUCUCGUGCUCAGCUGUUUCUCUGCCUGCCUGGCACUGCACUGGGUGGCUCUUCCUCCACUCAAGCACCUUAAAAUUCCAAAUUUGUGGGGAACCAAAAUAUAUUUAUUACAUCAACCGAUAAACAAACUGAUAGAUAAAUAAACAAAGCUGUUUGGGGUCUGUUUCCAUCCUAAAGUAACCAUCUUCAGCCGAAGGAACAAUUUUCAAUGGUAAAUAAGGGCUAAGGGAUUGCGGUGCACUGAGAUAAGCAGCGCAGCAUCCUCUGGUUCUCCCAGGCUGGUGGGGAGGCAGCCAGGAGUUGGCUUGGCUUUGCCAAGACUAUGUGCCAGUUUGGAGAUUCAGAAAUUCCUGAUCCAGGACUCCCAGACUUCACUAAUUCCAUAAAAACCACAUUUUCUCCUCUUGUGGCCAGCAUUGUCUCAGCAAUAUUUGUGAUUGCUCUCAUACAAAGCCAUGGGCUGUUAAUGUUGGCAUAUAGGUGUUUUCUAUCAGCCUUCUCCAGCAAAUUUAAGUUGUUCUGCAAGUGGAAUUAAGUAAAGAAGAUUUACGACGGUUUAAAAAAGCCAGUACUUGCAAAGUACAUCCCCAAAGGGUUGCUUUGUGAUCCAAAGUCUCAUUGCCUAUCAUUGUGCUGAAAGUUCUUCCAUAGUCAAAGCCUUUCCAUGUUUCUUCCUAGGGUAUUAACAUGGAUUUAAUCAUCCAUUUAAACAGCUAGCAAGAUAAAACUUGUUUCUGAAUGAUGGGUUGAGUGGAAGGGCCAUUAAGUUAUUUACCUUUCAUUUUUAGUGGUAUUUUGUGGACCAUUGAUAAUUAUGCAGGUUAUUGGGUUUUCCUCCCUUCCAAUAAGAAGGAUAAACUUUUGAAGUCUUUCAUGCUGUUCUUGCAAGAAUUAGGACAGUGUUCUUGUUCCCUGUGUAGGAUUCUUUCUAAAUUCAUUGUUAUUUCCAGGUAACUUCACCCGGCUGUUUGUCCUGCUGCCUUCCUGGCUGUAAGCUGUUAACCUAAAGACCAUUAGAGACAAUUGCAAUGUGGCUCCGCCUUUACCAUCCAGAAGCCGAGUUAGUGGAAUGAUGGUUGCUCAGUGCUGGUCAAGGCUCGGUGUCCCUUCAGAAUGAAGCCGUCACUCUGCUCCUGAAAGCCGCACGGUGCAAUUAGCCACGGUACUUCUCUCCCACUUGCUGCAGCCAGACCUUGACACGGAGACGGUGCCUUUGGCAGGGCAGUGCUGAACACCAGCAGGCAGUACCACCCUUCACCUGGCUUGGAAUCAAGCUGAAGACCCUUAGACAAAGCCUUUAAUGGGCAAGAAAGCUUGUGCUAACCCAUUGGAACCCAGCAGUGACCUCUCAGAGUUGAUGUCAGCCUGAAGACAGCAGCCACCGUGACUCCAUUGGCUCCUGACACGCUCAGUCCCUGUUCCAGAGUUUAAGCACAGGGGACGUGAGGGGUUUUGUGCGUGGGGAGAGGCCUUCAUCUGCAUGGAUGAACACCGGGUUCCAUGAGAUGCCAUUUACCCACUGACUUUGGGAAGGGAGCAAAGCAGGAAUGACAUAUAAGUGAGAAGGAACAUGUGCUCAGAGGUGCCUCCUUGGAGCUGUCUGAGUCUUGGCACGUGGUGAUGGUGGGGAGCAACCCGAACUUCCUGUGCCCUCAGCAUCCUCGCACACGGCACCGAGGCUGGGGGCUGCUUUCUCCAUCCCUGGCAGCCAGACCAGAGUCUCCCUUGGAUGACACAGUCGCAGGGCCAGGCUCGGGAAUGAGAGACGGGCACAAGCUGGUGGCUCAGACCAUCCACGUCAUUUGGCUUUCUCAGGGGACUGCUCGUGAAUCCCUG